RNAcentral lists this long non-coding RNA (809 nucleotides) under Mus spicilegus (steppe mouse). RNAcentral's name for it is "lncRNA (ENSMSIG00000018509.1)". Lineage: Eukaryota; Metazoa; Chordata; Mammalia; Rodentia; Muridae. The record is from RNAcentral.
CCAGACCUUAUUUUCUUCGUGUGCGAAUGAGGAAGUAAUGCUAUCCUCACUUGUGUUUAGGACUCGAAGCCCUGGUGUGAAUAGUGCGUCUAGCACACCUGACCUAUAGGAAGAGUUCCCUACUGGAAGAAACGAACACACACAAGGUGCUAGACCACCACCUAAAGAGCCGUUGCCUGGGUUUAGCUCUGAUAAAAAUAGGAUCCACCCACUGUCCAAAGCCCCUGACUACGUGCAAGAGGAGAGGAGCGAAACCCACUUGGCUUCCUGUGAGCCAUGCCUAGACUGAUUCCUAACCAAGAGAGCAAGCGUCAGGAAUGGCUUGGGGCAGGUAAAUUCAGAGAGGCCUCAACAGGGACAGGAGUAGGUACCUAAUUGCACUGGGUCUCCCAUUGAGGGCAGUCUUCCCAGGCAGCUCCAGAAACCCCACAACUAGGAAGUUCUCUAAUUUUGCUUCCUGAACCCCAACACUCCAGAUCUCACUCUCUCUAGGUUUCUCUCCCUCUUCCCCCAGGACAUGUGGACAGAGGCAUAGCCUGAGUUCCUUCUCCAUCCAUUUUCAAGGUAUAGGGGGUGCAAUGGUUCAAUUUAAAAAUCUGUGUGUCACAAAAGUAGUCAUCCAAGUAUCAUUGCCAAGUGCAAGGUACCUGUAAGAGUAGUUAUAUUAGGAGGACUCUGCUACUGUGGGAUCCUGGGGAUAGGUUAGUGACUGCAAGUGGUGUCCCAAUGAUAGAACAUGUUUGGCCCCUUCUUUUAGCCCUUUUGCAUUUGGCAUUUGGCCACUGGCUGGCACAGUACAGAAGCCCUCC